GUAGGUGGCAAGCGUUGUCCGGAAUUAUUGGGCGUAAAGCGCGCGCAGGCGGUUCUUUAAGUCUGAUGUGAAAGCCCACGGCUCAACCGUGGAGGGUCAUUGGAAACUGGAGAACUUGAGUACAGAAGAGGAAAGCGGAAUUCCACGUGUAGCGGUGAAAUGCGUAGAGAUGAGGAGGAACACCAGUGGCGAAGGCGGCUUUCUGGUCUGUAACUGACGCUGAGGCGCGAAAGCGUGGGGAGCAAACAGGGAUUAGAUACCCUGGUAGUCCACGCCGUAAACGAUGAGUGCUAAGUGUUAGGGGGGUUUCCGCCCCCUUAGUGCUGCAGCUAACGCAUUAAGCACUCCGCCUGGGGAUACGGCCGCAAGGCUG
RNAcentral lists this ribosomal RNA (373 nucleotides) under uncultured organism. Its description in RNAcentral is "partial 16S ribosomal RNA". It matches the Rfam family "Bacterial small subunit ribosomal RNA", at positions 527 to 896 of the family's 1533-position model. The record is from RNAcentral.